Molecule: transfer RNA, 69 nt
Filed under: Anomaloglossus baeobatrachus
Lineage: Eukaryota; Metazoa; Chordata; Amphibia; Anura; Aromobatidae
Also listed under: 1 other name
Description: tRNA-Ala
Rfam family: tRNA
About the family: Transfer RNA (tRNA) molecules are approximately 80 nucleotides in length. Their secondary structure includes four short double-helical elements and three loops (D, anti-codon, and T loops). Further hydrogen bonds mediate the characteristic L-shaped molecular structure. tRNAs have two regions of fundamental functional importance: the anti-codon, which is responsible for specific mRNA codon recognition, and the 3' end, to which the tRNAs corresponding amino acid is attached (by aminoacyl-tRNA synthetases). tRNAs cope with the degeneracy of the genetic code in two manners: having more than one tRNA (with a specific anti-codon) for a particular amino acid; and 'wobble' base-pairing, i.e. permitting non-standard base-pairing at the 3rd anti-codon position.
Source: RNAcentral
GAGACUUUAUCUUAAUAAAAGUAUUUGAGUUGCAUUCAAAAGAUGGGGGUUGAUGUCCUUCAGGUCUUA